GACGAACGCUGGCGGCGUGCUUAACACAUGCAAGUCGAACGAUGAAGCCUAGCUUGCUAGGUGGAUUAGUGGCGAACGGGUGAGUAAUACGUGAGUAACCUACCUUUAACUCUGGGAUAAGCCCGGGAAACUGGGUCUAAUACCGGAUACGACCAAUCUCCGCAUGGGGUGUUGGUGGAAAGCGUUAUGUAGUGGUUAUAGAUGGGCUCACGGCCUAUCAGCUUGUUGGUGAGGUAACGGCUCACCAAGGCGACGACGGGUAGCCGGCCUGAGAGGGUGACCGGCCACACUGGGACUGAGACACGGCCCAGACUCCUACGGGAGGCAGCAGUGGGGAAUAUUGCACAAUGGGCGCAAGCCUGAUGCAGCGACGCCGCGUGAGGGAUGACGGCCUUCGGGUUGUAAACCUCUGUUAGCAGGGAAGGAGAGAGAUUGACGGUACCUGCAGAGAAAGCGCCGGCUAACUACGUGCCAGCAGCCGCGGUAAUACGUAGGGCGCGAGCGUUGUCCGGAAUUAUUGGGCGUAAAGAGCUUGUAGGCGGUUUGUCGCGUCUGCUGUGAAAGGCCGGGGCUUAACUCCGUGUAUUGCAGUGGGUACGGGCAGACUAGAGUGCAGUAGGGGAGACUGGAAUUCCUGGUGUAGCGGUGGAAUGCGCAGAUAUCAGGAGGAACACCGAUGGCGAAGGCAGGUCUCUGGGCUGUAACUGACGCUGAGAAGCGAAAGCAUGGGGAGCGAACAGG
This 741-nucleotide ribosomal RNA is filed under the name Rothia mucilaginosa. RNAcentral describes it as "bacterial SSU rRNA". It matches the Rfam family "Bacterial small subunit ribosomal RNA", at positions 28 to 776 of the family's 1533-position model. The record is from RNAcentral. Lineage: Bacteria; Bacillati; Actinomycetota; Actinomycetes; Micrococcales; Micrococcaceae.